UGGCUGUCGUCAGCUCGUGUCGAGAGAUGUUGGUUAAAGUCCCGCAACGAGCGCAACCUUCGACUUUAUUUCCCAGCAUUAAGUUGGGCACUCUAAGGUGACUGCCGGUGAAAACUCGGAGGAAGGUGGGGAUGACGUCAAAUCAUCAUGCCCCUUAUGACCUGGGCUACACACGUGCUACAAUGGGCGGUACAAAGGGUUGCGAACCCGCGAGGGGGAGCCAAUCCCAAAAAGCCGCUCUCAGUUCGGAUUGCAGGCUGCAACUCGCCUCCAUGAAGCCGGAAUCGCUAGUAAUCCGGA
Molecule: ribosomal RNA, 300 nt
Filed under: uncultured bacterium
Lineage: Bacteria
Description: bacterial SSU rRNA
Rfam family: Bacterial small subunit ribosomal RNA
Source: RNAcentral